Schistosoma mansoni is the source of this 48-nucleotide non-coding RNA. The record is from Rfam. NCBI's taxonomy places the organism in Eukaryota, Metazoa, Platyhelminthes, Trematoda, Strigeidida, Schistosomatidae.
AUCCAGCUGGAGAGUCUCAAAUAGGACGAAACGCUCGUCAAACUGGAU